Long non-coding RNA from Passer montanus (Eurasian tree sparrow), 5920 nucleotides. RefSeq lists it as uncharacterized. NCBI's taxonomy places the organism in Eukaryota, Metazoa, Chordata, Aves, Passeriformes, Passeridae. The record is from RefSeq and is a predicted model, not a curated record. The transcript is spliced from 4 exons.
ACAGGUGCAAACCUCUCGGCACCCAAUUAUUUUGGCUUCCUUAUUGUGGCCGCUUUGCACGUGGCUGCUUAUGGGUGUUAGCCUCACUUCUCUGCCGGCAGCCACGCUAAGCCGUCCCGGAGAGAGGUAAAUGCUCUGGUUCCAGGAGUUGCAACUUCUAGCCUUGCACUUAAGCUCAAAGUCGCCGGGAUACAGGGAGGAAAGCCAAGCCAUGCAGGGCCCUAGGGGUGGCGGCACUCUCCCGGCCUGAAGAUUCUCCACCCCCCUCCCAAACAGACCAGCCUUCCGAACGCGUCAGGCUUGGCGCGGAGAGAUGGCGCCAGGUAGCAGGCCACAGGAGGGGGCCAGUGUCGCCACUUCAGGGUGAGGGGCAGCAAGGCACGGCUAGGCUGCCCCGUACCCCCCCGCCCCAAGCCGGGAGCAGUGGCACGCGCCUCUUCCCCGCCCCCUCUUCAGCCUUGAUCGAGACGCUGGAGGCUUCUCACGGCGGGAGGGAGCACAGGAAAUAAAAGCAAGUGUGCGCGGCGCUGGGGGAGGGGGAUUCCUGCUCCCGCUCCCCGGCCUUGUCCUGUCGCGGAGCCAGGAAAACAAGCCUCAAGAAACAGCUUCAAGGUCUCACACCUUCAAAAAUAAGUCUUUUAAGAAAUCCAGUAUAUGUGGAUUCUGCAAACAAGUCAUCAAGAGACAAAGAAUUUCCUGCAGAGACCAUAGAUCAAGAUUUGAAGACAAUUGGAGCAAUUCUUCUUUAAGAGGGGAAGACCAGGCCCAUCUUAUAGCACCACUAGACCUUCAGAGGAAAACUACACCUUCUACAGGAUCACUGCUUCAACGGAACCACAUCUGUCACUGCAGUAGGACUGCAGCCACCAUUUAAUCGGACUGCUACGAACACUCUGACCAACAGGGUGUCAGGUCAUAUUCUGACUCUGUUGGUGUUGUUUUUUAUUACUGCAUUUUUAUUUUUAUUUUUUCCUGAUAAAGAACUGUUAUUCCUACUCCCAUAUCUUUACCGGAGAGUCCCUUAAUUUCAAAAUUAUUAUAAUUUGAAGGGAGGGCGUUUGCAUUUUCCAUUUUAAGAGAAGCUCCUGCCUUCCUUAUAGGACACAGCAUAUCAUAUUGAUGAUUUCUUUUUCGUAGCCCAUAUUAUAUUUUCAUCUGUUGGUGGUCUUUGUUGCAUUUUUUGUAUGAGCUUUAAGAACAACUGUGAAUCAGAACCUCCAGGUCCAUAAGGUUUUACCCACAUAAUCUAGCAACAUCUGCCUUCUUACUUACUUUGGAGAUCACCCAUUUUAAGCUGAUCUCUUUUUAUUUUUCUUUGAUCCUUGCUCUUAGCAUAAUUUAUGCAGGAGGUAUUUUCAAGAUCCAUCACAGACAUGCAAGCUCUUGAGAUCUUAGACUGUCUGCAGCUGAAGACAGAAGAAAAACCCGGAGACAGUCCAGCCAUUUUUUGGGUUUCAUGUGAGUUGCUGUCUACAGUAAUCCACAGUCUUGUUGGAAAGGUUUUGUGGAUGAAAUGUUGCAACAUGGGUUUAUCUUUUUAGCUGGAGGAAGGAGGUCUAAAAAUUACCUUUGUUUCUAAACUGGAGUAAGGUUGAUUAAUUGACAGGCAAGUGUACCUUUAAAAAGAUCCGAGAAAUUAACAGUGUAUUUUUUUAAAUGUUAAAACAUUUUUAUUGUUACUACUGUUCUGCCUUUGUAAACCUUUUGUUGUCAAGAUUUUUCUACAGGACAGGAAGAAGGUGGGAGUAAAGGAAAAGAAAGGACAUGCUAUUGCAGCUGUAGGACCAAAAUAUUUUUUUCUUUAUAAAGAUUUUCCACAGCUGUUGCUGGCAACAGCAAGUGGAAUAUUUCAUCUGUGGGAAGGUUCAUUCACAACUCUGCAUUGCCCCCCCCACCCCUGCCCCCCAUCAAAAUGCUGAAGUUCUGCACAAAUUUCCCAUAACUGUCUGUUAGCCUGGUCAUGGUUUAAGAAAGUCUGGUUUUCAGUUGGGGGAGGUGGUUCCUUGUGGGGAGCCUGGUGUUGCCAACGAGCUGGCUAGUUUUGAAGAACCAAUCAUCUGGCCAGGUUUGAAGACUGAGAUCCAGUUAAACCACUUCAAAGAGGUGAAUACGCAUCUGUGGAAAAGCACUUUUUAAAACUACAAACAUCAGGGAAAGCUUUCUUGGCUUCUGGCUUUUGAGGAGGUAGUUGGCUGACCUGGCCCUGUGGGACCAGGUUGAGCAGGGCUGGGCCACGCCUGCGUGGCUGGGCUGGUGCUGUGUGGCCAGGUUGGCUUCGCCCACAGCACAGCUGAGAUUUCUGCCCUAUGAGGGAUGGUGCAUGGGCUUUUGAGCCCCUCACCAAGGAGCCUGCUGGGCCCCAUCCUGGCAGGCGGCUGGGGCCCUUCCCAGCAGGGCUGGGCCCCUUCCCAGUGAAGCCUGCUAGUCCUUUGUUCUACUGGUGCCGCUGUGCCAUGCUGGCCGGAAGCUUUAUCAGCACCAGGAGCAACCAUGCAGUGGGGACCAGCACAAGGAGUGGUCCCAUGGUUGGCGCUGGCUGCAGCCCUGAGGCCAGGAGUGGCCGGAUCUGGGGUGGCUGUGUGGCUGCCACCAGCCUGGACUGGGAAGGGGCCACAGGGCCGAGACUGUGCAGAUGAAAUUGGCAUGACUGGGACAAAGGCACGCAGCCAUGGCUGCCUCAGCGUGGCUCAUAAUGGACUUUGUUUGUUUAGCCACUUUUAGUGAGCCAUACUAUGGACAGAAGGACAAAACUGUCAGCAGCAGCUUUUCUUGGUUUUGGCACUCUGAGUGAAGGAAAAGCGCUAAGUAAAGCCAACAGCUGCCAAGGUUUGCACGGUGUCGGCAGAGACCACAUCAAUAGCAGCGAAAGACACAGCAAUUUCCCUGAUGCAGAGCCUGGAUAAGAUCAACCUUUGAGUGCUAUAAAACUCUAUAAAAACUGUUUCAGUUGAUAAAGCUUGAGAACAAAUGAACCUAUGAACACCAAUACUCUCCCGAAUCAGGAAGAGGAAAAGGUGAAGACAUGUAGGGAAAACAGUGUGAGACACUGAUGUCAGUAAAGAGGCAAAUCAAAUUCUAGAUGGGAGAGGAUUGAGGAGAUGCCUUAGUCUUGGACUGAAAUUCUUUGAUGAGGCUAUGGUGAAGACAUAAAUUUUUGAUAUAUCUGACUUUGUUUUUUGCCUGUAAUUUGUGAAGUACAUGGGGGGAUGCCGCAUUCACUUGCAGCCCAUGAAGAAAGGGCACUCAUGCUGGAGUGUGUGGAUGCUGAAAAGCUCUAAUCUAACAAGAAGCUUGAACAGAGAGAGAUGAGAUAGAAGAAGAAAAACCUUGUUCCCAGAGGUAAAAUAAUAGAACUUUUGUUUUUAUGCUAAAACAGCUCAUCCUUAAAAUUAGUACCCUGUAAGUUGACAUGGCCCAUGAAAGCAGCAAGACAUGGGAGGGACUUUCACACUGUUUCUGCGAACAGAUUUUCCUUACCCACGUGGCUGAUUGGCUGUGACAUGGAAGCCAAGACUGCUGAGAGAAUUGUUUGUUGUGGAGAAGUCUCCAUAGCAUGGCAAGAGCGACUCCUCUCCUGAGUGGACUGAAGAAAGAUUAUUUUUAGAGGUGGUAAACUGAUUGAAAAUUCCAGGUUUUGUCUCUUUACAUUGUUGGUGGGAAAGAAAAGAGGGUGUGGGGAGAGAAGUGUUCUGAAGGUUUAUUCUGAUUUUUUUAUAAUUUUUCUUUAAUUCUGUUAAUUAAGUUUUCUUCAUACCCUUUAAAGUUUUGAACCUGUUUUACUCUCUUCCUCCUAAUCCAUAUUUCACAGCAAGAAAUGAGUAAAUAAUUUCUAGUGGGUACACUGCUGUUUGACCAGCACUAAAACCACUACAUAUACUGGUGUAUUGACUGGGAAACUCAGAUUGGCGAACCAGUACCACUACAGUCUUCUCUUCAAAAACAAUGGCACUGUCAUGAAGUAGUGGGAGCAAUAUUCAGAUGACGAGACAGUGGUUGGCUGAAUAUGAGAAAAAGAACAAAAGAAAAUGAAGGAUAAUAUUUGAAGCACAGGAAAUGCACCAGCAGAUGUUGCUGUAAUGUGGCUGUUAGAGUAGUGAGAUCUUUGGCAUGUGGCUUUGGUAACUUCUUAAAAAUAGAAGUGUUUAUUUUUGCAUCUAAUGACUAAUAUUUCCAGCUAGGCUAUACUUAUCCCACCCUCUACACAAAGUGGGCUGGGAAAAGAAAUGCACAAAACUGCCUCACACGAAAUUGCAUACCAAUUUAUUUUUAAUGUUGCACUUAAUUUCUGUGUGUCUGAUUUUCAUGCUGCUUUCUUUUGAUUUUUUUCUUGAGUUGAAUUGUUGCAAAGUUGGUAGGAGCAGGUCAGCAGAAUUUUUUUUUUCUCAUAAUCUGAUCACAACAUUAUUAAACACUUGUUGAAAUAAAAAUAGCUGGUAGACUGCACUUGUAGCAACAUUUCAUCCACAAAGCCAUUUCAACCAGACCGGUUUGCUGUAGCCAUUAGGCAUUUGGGAGAUUUUGGUCAAAAAAUGGCCUCUUCUCCUUCUCUACCCCAAGGAGAUUAUGUUGUGGUGACCAUAAUUUGCAUUUUUAGAAACCAAAUCAAGUUAUUUUAACAAAAAGAAAAUAAAUUUUCUUCACAGCCAAUGACAGUCCUGAUAUUUUGUGCAUGAUAUUUCCUGCAGGUGUGAGCUGUUGGUCAGUAGCAGUAUCACUAGACUUCAUAUUAAAAUAGCUGGGCUCUACCAUUUCUAUUACCCUCUGACAUCCAUCUGUGCUGGUAUUUAAGAGAGAAGUCUGGAACUAUAAAACUUUAGUCUUGAUUACAUGAAUCUUUUUAUAUGCUUGGUUUAGAUUACAUUCUGUUGUGAAUUUUCGAGAACUCUUCUAUUACUGUCAAAAUCUAUCUUUAAUAGCAUGUGUCUGUUUUGUUGAAUUGGAGUUGCUGAGGGAAAGAAAGCAUCUUUCAGACAUCUAGGCCUUUGAUUUGGUAUCCCAGUUUUUUUAGUCACCAGGAAGUUAAAAAUGAAUAUCCAGGCCUGUCUGGUGUAUGUUUUUGGAACAAAAAUUUUUGUUAGGGAUUAGAAAGGUGUUAAACUGGGUUACAUCUCUUUGAUUCUCUACUAAUAUGCAAGUUUCUACCCCAAGAGUACUCCUGAAUUAUCUUUUUUCUACCCUUUCCAUACAUGGUGGGGUUUAAAAACAAACACACAAAAACCUAUCACAGAGGAUCUCUUGAUAAAAGCUGUGAUUAAGUGCAUGGUUGUCUUUAUAAACCAGCCAUAUUCACUAUGUGUGCAUUGUGAUGGAAUAUGUGAAACAUUGCCAUAACAUAAGUCCAUUAAAUACUUAAAUGUGUCAAGGUGCAGAGCCCUUACCAGACAGAGAAAAGUUUCUCCUGGUAAAGCAUAAAUCAUUCUGCGGUUUGUUUACAGCAGUAGUUUCUUGCUUUGUAAAUACAUUGCUAGUGGUCUUCGCUUCUUACACACAAGAAUGUAAGAAGCAGAACUUUCAUUUUUCAAAACCUUUGGAGCUUAAGUCUAAAAAAUAUGAUUCACUAUGCUUAUUCUUCUCUCUUUACCCUGGCAGCAAUACUGGUAACUUGCAGGAGUUAACACAUCUUCAUUUUGAUACCCUUACUCCCUUUUUCUCCCUGUUGUUUAGGAGCUGUUUUGAAGUGCAGUAAAUUGACUAAAUAUGGCUUAGUCUCUAUUUUGCUGCUGGCCAGCUUGGGACAGUUUUUCUUGAAGCUUCUGAAAGACUUAACCUUGACAGCAACUUGAUGACUAAGUUUACAUCUGACUUGAGUGAUUUGUUUCCAGAAAAAAACUGUAAGAGCUGUUGUGUUACACAAGUGCAGAAAAAGCUGAUUUGCUUGUACAUGAAAACUUUAAAAAAAAAUAAAAAAUCAAUGCUUGCA